Daucus carota subsp. sativus is the source of this 458-nucleotide long non-coding RNA. RefSeq lists it as uncharacterized. The transcript has 2 exons. NCBI's taxonomy places the organism in Eukaryota, Viridiplantae, Streptophyta, Magnoliopsida, Apiales, Apiaceae. The record is from RefSeq and is a predicted model, not a curated record.
GCAGCUAUCAGCGACAGGGAGGGGGAGAGACCAGAGAGAGAGACAGCGAGAGAGAAGCAAAGCAAGAUGUUGGCGAUUUUGCGUUGUCUGCACAGACAAGGUGACAAACUUAUCGACUUUGUGAGUACUUUUAAGCCAGCCGGGAAGAUUCUCAAAAAGCACUGGAUAUUGAGACAAGUGGUGGGUUCUGUGCCUUUUGCCGUGGUUCUUUCGCCGGCUAUGGUUGCGAGUGAGCGGGAGGGACGAGCUUGGAUUCGGAGCAAAUUUAGUUACUUCUUGUCCAAAAAGGAUGAUUCGGAUUCUCAGGCCUCUAACUAGUAAUUAAUCCUCAGUUAGGUUAUGUUCCAGCUUGUCGUUUUAAUUAUUUUCGUAAUUCAAACAGAUACAUGCCAGCAUCAACCUAUUCCCUUAUGAAUUUUCUAAUUUAUAUAUGAUCAUCUUGAUUUUCGUAGUUAUAA